This 312-nucleotide RNase P RNA is filed under the name Oncorhynchus sp. Its description in RNAcentral is "partial RNase P RNA". It matches the Rfam family "Nuclear RNase P". From Rfam's summary of the family: Ribonuclease P (RNase P) is a ubiquitous endoribonuclease, found in archaea, bacteria and eukarya as well as chloroplasts and mitochondria. Its best characterised activity is the generation of mature 5'-ends of tRNAs by cleaving the 5'-leader elements of precursor-tRNAs. Lineage: Eukaryota; Metazoa; Chordata; Actinopteri; Salmoniformes; Salmonidae. The record is from RNAcentral.
GGGCGGAGGGAAGCUCAUCAGUGGGGUCACAUGUAGGGUGCUUGUCACUCAACCAAUCACCUUGGGGAAGGUCUGAGACAAGAGCCAAUCACUUCCCUAGCAGGGUAUCACCUGAUCUGGGUGAGUGAGUGCACAGAGAAUAUGAGCCAUUGUGAGUUGUCUUUACGGAAGAAACCAGCCAGUACAGCUCUCCAGCACUACUGGUGGAUGUGACCUCACUGGCUUGGAAACACUCAUGGCUGGCAUAUGAGUUUAAUGUGUGAGUUGGAGUACACCUCCAGAACCCAAUUCAGACCACUCUCCGGAAUUCCG